RNAcentral lists this ribosomal RNA (251 nucleotides) under uncultured bacterium. RNAcentral describes it as "partial 16S ribosomal RNA". It matches the Rfam family "Bacterial small subunit ribosomal RNA", at positions 525 to 775 of the family's 1533-position model. The record is from RNAcentral.
ACGUAGGUGGCAAGCGUUGUCCGGAUUUAUUGGGCGUAAAGCGAGCGCAGGCGGUUUCUUAAGUCUGAUGUGAAAGCCCCCGGCUCAACCGGGGAGGGUCAUUGGAAACUGGGAAACUUGAGUGCAGAAGAGGAGAGUGGAAUUCCAUGUGUAGCGGUGAAAUGCGUAGAUAUAUGGAGGAACACCAGUGGCGAAGGCGGCUCUCUGGUCUGUAACUGACGCUGAGGCUCGAAAGCGUGGGGAGCAAACAG